CNANCUACACUUUAAGUUAAGAUUUUCAUUUACAUUGAAAUAUAGUAUCGUGCAAUUCGAUAUAGUUUGA
Molecule: transfer RNA, 70 nt
Filed under: Panesthia angustipennis angustipennis
Lineage: Eukaryota; Metazoa; Arthropoda; Insecta; Blattodea; Blaberidae
Description: tRNA-Val
Source: RNAcentral